RNAcentral lists this transfer RNA (94 nucleotides) under Firmicutes bacterium HGW-Firmicutes-15. RNAcentral describes it as "tRNA-Ser". It matches the Rfam family "tRNA". Rfam says of the family: Transfer RNA (tRNA) molecules are approximately 80 nucleotides in length. The record is from RNAcentral. Lineage: Bacteria; Bacillati; Bacillota. RNAcentral also lists the same sequence under 1 other name.
GGAGAGAUGGCCGAGUUGGUCGAAGGCGCUCGACUCGAAAUCGAGUAGGCGGCUAAUCCCCGCCUCUAGGGUUCGAAUCCCUAUCUCUCCGCCA